GUUUUAUUAUCGCCAUUGCAUUGUUUACCCUUCAAAUAAGUUCUAAAAAUUUGUUUUCCAUUUUGGUUUUUGUUCUACUUAAUUACGAGUACGUCCUAUAAUCUUAAUCGAACACUCAACUGGGAGUGGAACCAACUUUGGCAGUGCGCCCAGUUAUCUACUUUGAAUAUCAGUUAGAUUUAGAAUUAUUUAUGUAUACGUAUACGUACGUAACUACAAUAGUUCCGUUCACCACCCAUUAACACUUAUAUUGCAGUAAAAGUAGGUUCAUAGCAUAUAUUCGCAUAGAUCAUUUUGUUUGAAAUCUCUAUGUACAAAGUCAGCCUUGAUUGCUUUUCUUUUGAGUUGCUUUGAGUUUGUUGCUGCUUGAGGUAAAGAAAGAGAUCGGUUCUGUGUGGUAUGUAUUUAUUACGUAGUAGACUCGCAGUGAAAUCAGCUACCUAGGCGGUGUCCAACAGAUAGAGUGAUAUAUGUACGUACGUUACCUAACUAACUAACAUUUUGCCUCUACGCCACUACGCUACACAAAACACCUGCUGUUGCACCUUAUCCCUUAUUUCUAGCCUAAGGUUGAACAUAUUUUGGGUAUGGUAUGGAUUAGGCCGCUAUCACUAAAAAUAUUAACACAAUCGUCGGUAUUUUGUGCGUUUUAAUCAAGUUAUAAUUCUCUUAGUUUGGAUGUGUGUAUCGGUUGUUCUGUUUUUUUGUCUUAAGGCUUCAUGCUUAGGGUUCUCUCUCAUGCACAACCCUAAACAGUCAUUCACACUUACGAGUAUUUAUCAAGUAUAAUUUAUUAUUUCUAACAUCUUUGAAUGUGAUGUGCAGCAGAUAUUAUGGGUAUAAAUUGAUUGAGCAUUGUAAUGGCAUGAUUGUAAUACUCGUACUCCCUCAAACACUUAAGGCUAUUCUAUUUCCCCAACUUGCUCUUAUGUUGACCUAAAAUUACGUACAUUACAUUCUUGUAAUCCAGUUUUGUUGUUGUUGUUGGGUGUGGAUGUUGUUGAGACUUGACAUUCGCUGACGC
This 1024-nucleotide long non-coding RNA is filed under the name Drosophila guanche. Lineage: Eukaryota; Metazoa; Arthropoda; Insecta; Diptera; Drosophilidae. The record is from RNAcentral.